RNAcentral lists this ribosomal RNA (524 nucleotides) under uncultured bacterium. RNAcentral's name for it is "partial 16S ribosomal RNA". It matches the Rfam family "Bacterial small subunit ribosomal RNA", at positions 35 to 539 of the family's 1533-position model. The record is from RNAcentral.
AUUGAACGCUGGCGGCAGGCCUAACACAUGCAAGUCGAGCGGAUGAAGGGAGCUUGCUCCUGGAUUCAGCGGCGGACGGGUGAGUAAUGCCUAGGAAUCUGCCUGGUAGUGGGGGAUAACGUCCGGAAACGGGCGCUAAUACCGCAUACGUCCUGAGGGAGAAAGUGGGGGAUCUUCGGACCUCACGCUAUCAGAUGAGCCUAGGUCGGAUUAGCUAGUUGGUGGGGUAAAGGCCUACCAAGGCGACGAUCCGUAACUGGUCUGAGAGGAUGAUCAGUCAACAGGUGAGUGAGACACGUGACAGGCUAGUGAGGGAGGCGAGAGGUGGAAAUGGGGGACAAGGGGACAAAGACUGAUCCAGGCAGGCGGGGGGUGUGAGGAAGUUUUACGAAUAGUAAAGCAAGUGUAGGUGGGAGGAGGGUCAGUAAAUUAAUUCCUUCUUUGUGAGACGUUACGAAAAGAAGAAGAGCCGGCUAACUUGGUGCCAUCAGCCGAGGGAAUCGCCGAAUGAGCACCCGCCUACC